RNAcentral lists this ribosomal RNA (523 nucleotides) under uncultured Bacteroidota bacterium. Its description in RNAcentral is "bacterial SSU rRNA". It matches the Rfam family "Bacterial small subunit ribosomal RNA", at positions 8 to 526 of the family's 1533-position model. Lineage: Bacteria; Pseudomonadati; Bacteroidota. The record is from RNAcentral.
AGGGUUUGAUCAUGGCUCAGGAUGAACGCUAGCGGCAGGCUUAACACAUGCAAGUCGAGGGGCAGCAUGUCCAGCAAUGGAUGAUGGCGACCGGCGUAAGGGUGCGUAACGCGUGAGCAACAUGCCCUAUACAGGAGGAUACUCCGGGGAAACCCGGUCUAAUACUCCAUAGUAUUAUUGAGAGGCAUCUCUUAAUAAUUAAAGCUUCGGUGGUAUAGGAUUGGCUCGCGUGACAUUAGCCAGAUGGUGAGGUAACGGCUCACCAUAGCAACGAUGUCUAGGGGUUUUGAGAGGAAGGCCCCCCACACUGGGACUGAGACACGGCCCAGACUCCUACGGGAGGCAGCAGUGAGGAAUAUUGGACAAUGGAUGGAAAUCUGAUCCAGUCAUGCCGCGUGCAGGAAGACUGCCUUAUGGGUUGUAAACUGCUUUUAUACGGGAGCAAUAAGGGUUACGUGUAACCUGAUGAGAGUACUGUAUGAAUAAGGAUCGGCUAACUCCGUGCCAGCCGCCGCGGUAAUUC